UACGUAGGGGGCUAGCGUUGUCCGGAAUCAUUGGGCGUAAAGCGCGUGUAGGCGGCCCGGUAAGUCCGCUCUGAAAGUCGGGGGCUCAACCCUCGGAUGCGGGUGGAUACUGUCGGGCUUGAGUGCGGAAGAGGCGAGUGGAAUUCCUGGUGUAGCGGUGAAAUGCGCAGAUAUCAGGAGGAACACCAAUUGCGAAGGCAGCUCGCUGGGACGUUACUGACGCUGAGACGCGAAAGCGUGGGGAGCGAACAGG
This 253-nucleotide ribosomal RNA is filed under the name uncultured bacterium. RNAcentral describes it as "partial 16S ribosomal RNA". It matches the Rfam family "Bacterial small subunit ribosomal RNA", at positions 524 to 776 of the family's 1533-position model. The record is from RNAcentral.